AAUGAACGUUGGCGGCGUGGAUUAGGCAUGCAAGUCGUGCGCGAUGAGUUUGGUGCUUGCAUUAAACUCUGAAAGCGGCGAAAGGGAGAGUAACGCGUGGAUCAUCUACCCUCGGGUCUGGGAUAGCUGCGGGAAACUGCAGGUAAUACCGGAUGAUGUCCCUGGACCAAAGGUGCAAUUCCGCCUGAGGAUGAGUCCGCGUCCUAUUAGCUAGUUGGUGGGGUAAUGGCCCACCAAGGCAAAGAUGGGUACCGGGUGUGAGAGCAUGGCCCGGCUCACUGGGACUGAGACACUGCCCAGACACCUACGGGUGGCUGCAGUCGAGAAUCUUCCGCAAUGGACGAAAGUCUGACGGAGCGACGCCGCGUGCGGGAUGAAGGCCUGGUGUAACGCUGUCAGAAGGAGGAAAUACGAUAAGGUUACGUCUCUUAUGUUUGUACCGAUCUUCUAGAGGAAGUCCGGGCGUAAGUU
Molecule: ribosomal RNA, 471 nt
Filed under: uncultured bacterium
Lineage: Bacteria
Description: bacterial SSU rRNA
Rfam family: Bacterial small subunit ribosomal RNA
Source: RNAcentral